CUUUAUGAUCGUGACAAAAAGACUAUCACACCUUUUGUUAUCAGUUUGAAUUGAGGUGCUCAUGUCAUUUUGAAAGAUACCAUUCCGAAAUAUUGAAUCAGCUGCUAUUUAUUUAUUCAAAAUAGUGAAUUAAAAAAGAGGGCCAUGAAGGCCCUGUAUUGCUCACCUGACCUAUUGACCUAAAGAUCAUCAAGAUCAACAUUCUGACCAAGUUUCAUUAAGAUAUGGUCAUAAAUGUAGCCUCUAAAGUGUUAACUAGCUUUUCCUUUGAUUUGACCUGGUGACCUAGUUUUUGCCCCCACAUGACCCAGAUUUAAACUUGACCUAAAGAUCAUCAAGAUUAACAUUCUGACUAAGUUUCAUGAAGAUAUAGUCAUAAAUGUGGCCU
Mercenaria mercenaria is the source of this 388-nucleotide long non-coding RNA. RefSeq lists it as uncharacterized. The transcript is spliced from 2 exons. Lineage: Eukaryota; Metazoa; Mollusca; Bivalvia; Venerida; Veneridae. The record is from RefSeq and is a predicted model, not a curated record.